Molecule: non-coding RNA, 575 nt
Organism: Erythranthe guttata (spotted monkey flower)
Lineage: Eukaryota; Viridiplantae; Streptophyta; Magnoliopsida; Lamiales; Phrymaceae
Source: RefSeq, a predicted model, not a curated record
UCAUAUUUAUAAAUGUAUUAAGAUAUACUGUAAUUUAUUUAUCACCAUUAAUCAGUAUGCAUAAUGUGACAUGUUCGAUUGUGGAGUAUAUGUUUGCAUGAUGAUGAUGUUUGAGAUGGGGGCAUUUGAGCUGUCAGAAGUAAUUUUUUUUAAUUAGAUAACUUCUUAAUUUAAUUUCUACAUAUAUGCUCAUUUUAAUUGUGGCAUAAUGAAUCUAUUGCCUAUUAGGAGCAAUCUGAUAUCUUCCGACAACAAAUUGCCAUUAAUCUAUACAGAAGCAAUUACAAUAUGUUCGCUUCGCCGAGAUAGGAACUCUUAUGCUUGAUAUAGAUUCUCGAUAAUGGUGUUAUGGAGUUUUAGCUUUUCAUCUUCGUGCGUAGUUAAUCUUGGAGCUCGUUUGUCUUGGGAGCAGUUACUCUUGUUAGCUUUUAGCAUAUUUUGUGGUCCACCGUAUUUUUCUUUCUCUUUCGUUUAAUGAUUAAUUGCAGAUGAUUUUAGAGACUGAUUUUUUUCUUUUUUUUUAUUGAAUUUGGGUUUUGGUUUAGGAUAAAUUUGAAUCCGACGGACUUUGGGGA